UACGUAGGGUGCGAGCGUUGUCCGGAAUUAUUGGGCGUAAAGAGCUUGUAGGCGGUUUGUCGCGUCUGCCGUGAAAUUUCGAGGCUCAACCUCGAACUUGCGGUGGGUACGGGCAGACUAGAGUGUGGUAGGGGAGACUGGAAUUCCUGGUGUAGCGGUGAAAUGCGCCGAUAUCAGGAGGAACACCGAUGGCGAAGGCAGGUCUCUGGGCCACUACUGACGCUGAGAAGCGAAAGCAUGGGGAGCGAACAGG
RNAcentral lists this ribosomal RNA (253 nucleotides) under uncultured bacterium. RNAcentral describes it as "partial 16S ribosomal RNA". It matches the Rfam family "Bacterial small subunit ribosomal RNA", at positions 524 to 776 of the family's 1533-position model. The record is from RNAcentral.